UACGGAGGGUGCGAGCGUUGUCCGGAAUCACUGGGCGUAAAGGGUGCGUAGGCGGGGCUUUAAGUCAGAGGUGAAAUCCUGGAGCUCAACUCCAGAACUGCCUUUGAUACUGAAGAUCUUGAGUUCGGGAGAGGUGAGUGGAACUGCGAGUGUAGAGGUGAAAUUCGUAGAUAUUCGCAAGAACACCAGUGGCGAAGGCGGCUCACUGGCCCGAUACUGACGCUGAGGCACGAAAGCGUGGGGAGCAAACAGG
RNAcentral lists this ribosomal RNA (253 nucleotides) under uncultured bacterium. RNAcentral describes it as "partial 16S ribosomal RNA". It matches the Rfam family "Bacterial small subunit ribosomal RNA", at positions 524 to 776 of the family's 1533-position model. The record is from RNAcentral.